Molecule: unclassified non-coding RNA, 6612 nt
Filed under: Drosophila virilis
Lineage: Eukaryota; Metazoa; Arthropoda; Insecta; Diptera; Drosophilidae
Description: GJ23835
Source: RNAcentral
UGCCAUAAUGAUAAAGAUGUUUAACUUCAUGAAAAAGAGCGCCGGCGAUGAGGAGAAGGAACGUCGCAAGCGUGAAAAGAAACUGCGCAAAGAGGCUAAAGGCGUCAGCGGGGGUGGCGUAACUGGCAGCAUGAGCACCGACGAGCUGCUCCGACUGGAGGAAGUGCGUCGAUCGCUUAAGAUACGCGGUCGCCGCAAGGAGAAGGAAAAGCUGCCCAGCGGCAUUACAGCCGACUACAGUGCAGAUUUCUUUGCGGCCCUUAACGCCGAUGCGCCCAGUGGUAAUGGCAAUGGCAAUGGCAAUGGCAACGGCAACGGAAACGGCGAGCCAGAGCAGGAUCGUGGCAAUGAGGAAAUUGUAGCAUCUGUGAUGACACACAUCGAAAGCCGCAGCUCCACCAAUGGGUCUGGCAUGGGCAUUAAUCUGAACUACGCCGAGGUCACACAUUCGCUGCUAUCCGGCGGGUUAAAGAAUCGAUUUUUGCCGCCGGUGCCGCCAAAGCCGCCCAAACGCGGCAUUUUGAAGGGGUCGCGCAGCAACAUGACCAACGUGCAUGAGGAGAUUGUCUUCACCGGCAGCAGCGGCGGCGGCGGCACGCCCGAAAUGCUGAUGCGCAACACCUUGCAAAAUGAACAGCUGUUUGAAGGCAACCGUGGCGGCGGCAGCGGUGGCUCCAAUUCUAGCCAGCACGGCACCUCGUUCACCUCCGUGGAGAGCCUGCGCAGCGAUGGCGACCAUGCCCCACAGCAGCGGGCCAUGACGCUGCCGGCGAACGCACGCUAUUGUGCACCACAGACGCCCACACAGGCUGCCCAUUUGCAUGUGCUGACAUCGCCGUCCCCGAGUGCAGACAGUCUCACAGAUACCACAAACUCCUCGUUCGCCACGCCCCCAUUCUCGCUCAGUCCUGUGGGCGAAUCGCAGGGCAUCGACCGCUGGGCCCGCGUGCAUGCCUUUGAGGAUGUGCAACUGCCGUUGCCACCAGUGCAGCUGGUGCAGUUGCCGCCUCCCAGGCAGCUGGUAAUCAGGCGACAGAAAUCACCGCGCCAGGACUUUGGCUUCAGUCUGCGCAAGGCCAUUUGCUUGGAUCGCACCGAGUCACUGAUGUCGCCCAUUUUCCGGCCCGUCAUCUUUGCGGAGCCGGGUGCAGGAGGUGGCGCCACGGGCCUCUUGCCCGGCGAUCGAUUAAUCAAGGUCAACGGCACGCCCGUGGGCGACUUAUCGCGCGAGAUCAUCAUCGAGAUGAUACGCAACAGUGGCGAUGCUGUCACCGUUGAGGUUCAACCCGUGGCGGAGCUGGUGGAGCUAAGCAAGCGCUGCAUGGCGCCCAGCACGGCCACCGUCGAGGAGGUCGAUCAUUCCAUUAACAAUGGCAACUGCAACACUUUACGCCGCAGCGCCAGCAAACGCUUCAAGCGUCAGAGCCGGCACGAGAAUGGUACGGGCGGCAUUGGCAAGAGCGCCAGUGAUGUGGAUAUAACCGAUGAUGCCUCACAGCCGGAACGUGUGUGGUUGGUGCAUCGUGGUGGCUUCACCGCUGCGCUGCGUCUGCCGCCCAAUAAUGGCAUGCCGCACGAGGACCAUAAGCUGAACGUGCGACUGCUGCACAAUGGCGAACAAUUGACCGUUGAUGAGGAUGACAUCGAGAAGCAGAACAGCGCCGCAUUGGAUCUGGCCGAGGAUAUCUGUGAGCUGAAGUAUUUAAACGAGGCGUCGGUGCUGCACUGCCUCCGGCAGCGUUAUGCCAGCAAUCUCAUACACACCAAGGCGGGGCCCACGCUGCUUGUGGUCAAUCCAAUGGCACCGCUGUCGCUCUACUCCGAGAAGGUUGUAUCCAUGUUUCGCGGCUGCAAAACGGAGGACAUGCCACCCCACGUCUACUCGCUGGCCCAGACCGCCUACAGGAGUUUGGUUGAAACGCGACGCGAUCAAAGUCUAAUAUUCAUGGGCCGUUCUGGUUCUGGCAAGACCACAAGCUUUAAGCAUGCGCUCAACUACUUGGCGUUGGCUGCUGGUGCAUACAAUAAUUUUAUCAAUGCGGAAAAAGUGAGUGCCCUGUGCACAAUUCUGGAGGCGUUUGGUAAUACGAGAACAUGUCUCAAUACAAAUGCGACGCGUAUGACGCAGCUACUCAGCCUGGAUUUCGAUCAGACCGGGCAAAUAGCAUCAGCCUCGUUACAGGUUCUUCUGCCGGAGCGUCAACGUGCGGGACGCCGGCUGUCGCACGAGCACAGCUUUCAUAUUAUGACGCGACUGUUGGCGGGCGCCGCAGGGCUGCUGCAGAAGGAACUGCACUUGGAGAACAUUUCAUCUGAAGACAGUCAUCCGUUUAUAUCGCUCUCUCAGCGACUGGAGGAUCGCCAUCGGGCGGCGAAUGACUUUUUGCGUACGGUGCAGGCAUUCGAGACACUCAACAUUGAUGCAAAGGCCGUGCGGGGAAUUUGGAGCAUACUGGCAGCCAUUUAUCAUCUGGGUAUUGCGGGCAUUACAAGAAUGGGCACCGGCUCAACGGCACGAACUCAGUUUGCCAAUCCGACAGCAGCGCGCAAAGCGGCUAGCCUGUUGGGAGUCAAUCUGGAGGAUUUAUCGGCAGCUGCGUUUGGUCUGACGCAGCCUAAUGCGGGCGGCAGUUUAAGUCCCUCCAAGUCGCCUACCUCAGAUGGCGGUCAAGAAUGGGCCUGGGAAUGCCUUGAAGCGCUCGUCAUUGGCCUCUACUCGGAGGCCCUGGCCGCUGUGGUAGCUCUCAUUAAUCGCCAGAUCUGCACAUCAGCACAUACUAUUGCUUCGAUUAUGCUGAUCGAUACGCCGGGCUUCCAGAAUCCAGCCAGUUGUGGUCAGCAGCUGGGCGCCACGCUAGCCGAUCUGCGUCACAACUAUCUGCAGGAACGCCUGCAAAUGCUUUUCCACCACACAACAUUGGUAGCGCCACGUGAUCGCUAUGCCCAAGAGCUGGUGGAGAUUGAAAUGGAUCAUGCCUCCGAGUGCCAUCCAGGUCCGCUAAUAUCUCUAAUUGACAAGGCACCACAGAAUCAUGUGGUCCGCUCCUCACAACGGGAUUUGCGCGAGCACGAUCGUCGUGGUUUGCUUUGGCUAUUGGACGAGGAGGCCAUCUAUCCCAACUCGAAUGACGACACAUUCCUAGAGCGUUUGUUCUCUCAUUACGGCGAUCGUGAGCACCACACAUUGUUGCGCAAAUGCGCCGGACAGCGUCAGUUUGUGUUGCAUCAUCUGCAGGGCACCAACCCGGUGCUGUACGCCGUCGAUGGCUGGGUUCGACACAGCCGCGAGCAUCCUGGCAUACGAAAUGCGGUGUCGCUGCUGCAGGACAGCAGUCGGGAGGAGAUCAAUCGUCUGUACAUUGGCUCAUUGACGCGCGGCUCCGGUGCCAUGGUCUUUUGCGGUUCCUUCGCGGGUCUGGAAGGCACACAGUCAUUGCGUCGCGUUUCCAGCAUACGCCGCUCCUUCACUACGGCGGGUGUCAAACGCAAUUCAAUUAUGCUGCAGGUGAAGUUCACCGUAGACGGCAUCAUCGACACGUUACGUCGCACAGGUACCCACUUUGUGCACUGCUAUCUGCUGCAGCACAAUGCGGGCAAACAUGCCAAGUAUACGGCGAAUGGCUCACCCAGCUCAGCUCUUGGCCAAGCAGCUACCGAGGAGGAAUUGGUCAAUGUGCCACUGUUAAGGAGUCAGCUACGUGGCUCGCAAGUCUUGGAGGCGGCUCGUUUGCAUCGUUUGGGCUUUCCCGAAUCUGUGCCAUUGCUUGAGUUUGUGCGUCGCUUUGGUCUGUUAGCCGGCGAUCUGGCGAGCAACAAAGAUAUUAGCGUAGAGCAAAUACUCGCCGUCAAUGAAAUGGACGUUGCCAGCUAUCGUAUCGGACCAAGUCAGAUACUUUUCCGUUCCGGUGUGCUCAAUGAGCUGGAGGCCAAACGCGAUGUGUUGCUUUCGGAUCGCAUUAUACAGUUGCAGGCGUUUUGUCGUGGCUAUUUGGCACGCAAAAAGAUGUCGCAACGGCGUAUUCAGGAGCUGGCAGUGCGUUGCAUUCAACGCAAUGUAAAGGCCUUUUUGGCUGUGCGCGACUGGCCCUGGUGGCGUCUGUUGGUUCGUGUGACGCCUCUGCUCAAUGUGCACCGUACCGAGGAGCAGUUAAAGAUCGCCAACGAGGAGUUGCUCAUGCUUCGUGCCAAGCUGGAGAAGAUCGAAUAUGAUCGCAGUGAAGUCAAGAACGAGAAUCAAAAAUUGGAAGCCAAGUUAUCCGAGCUGACCGUGGAUCUGGCAGAGGAGCGUUCCACGGCGCAUAUUGCCACCGAGCGUCUGGAGGCGGAGACUGCCGAACGGCUGAAGCUUGAAAAGGAGCUCGGGGAGCAUCAGACCAAGGUGAAGAACCUACAGGAGAUGAGCGAAAAGCUGGAAAUGGAGCUAAUAUGCGCAAAAUCCGACUUGAAUGGCAUCUCCGAGGAUGAGGACGUCGAGCACGAAGAAGGCAGCGGUGGUGUUUACAAGCUGAAGUACGAGCGCGUGGCCAGGGAACUGGAGUUCACCAAGCGGCGACUACAGACGCAGCAUGAGCACGAUCUGGAACAGCUGGUCGGGCUCAAAAAGCAAUUGGAGAAGAAGCUAUCCGAUGCCUACGAGGAAGUUGAAGAACAACGUCAGGUUGUGGGCCAAUGGAAACGCAAGGCACAAAAGAUGACCAACGAGAUGAAUGAUUUGCGCAUGCUGCUCGAGGAGCAAAAUGCACGCAACAAUUUGCUGGAGAAGAAGCAGCGCAAAUUCGAUGCCGAGUGUCAGUCCCUGCAGGAUGCAGCGCGCCAGGAACGCCAGGCCAAAGAGCGGUAUGGACGCGAAAAAGAUGUCCUCCAAGCUGAGAAAUUUACGCUCGAGCAAACGCUGGCGGAUACACGUCUGGAUCUAGAGCUGAAAGAGGAAAAGCUGGCCUCGCUGCAGCGUGAGCUGGAGGAGAUGACCUUUGGCGGUGGCACUGAGGAGGAGUUUGCGCAGCUGCGACGCUCCAAGAACGAAACCGAGCGGCGCGCAAAGGAACAGGAGGAGGAGCUCGACGAAAUGGCUGGGCAAAUACAGCUGCUGGAACAGGCCAAGCUGCGUCUGGAGAUGACCCUAGAGACAAUGCGUAAAGAGGCGCGGCGCGAGUCACAGCAGCGCGACGAGGAGCUGGAGGAGGUGCGUGGCAAUGGCUACAAGAAGAUCAAGGCUCUUGAAUGUCAGCUGGAAACAGAGCAUGAGGAACGCACGCUGCUGCUACGCGAAAAGCACGAGCUAGAGAGACGCCUCUCGUCAAUGGAGGACCGCGAUCGUGUGGAUCGUGAUGCCGAGGAGGCGCUGAAUCAAAAGCUGCGUCGUGACUUGCGCAAGUACAAGGCGCUACUGAAGGAUGCUCAGACGCAGCUGGAGCGACUCAAAGCGGAUACGCCUGGCAAAACACUUAUCAGGCAGCUACGCAAUCAGUUGGAGGAUGCGGAAUCUGCGCGCACUUUGGCCAUGAAGGCGCGCCAGACAGCCGAGGCGGAGCUGGCCGAGGUGCAAGCCAUGUUCGAGGAGUCGCAUAGGGCGCGCAACGAUGCCGAGGAACGGGCCAAUGCAGCGCAUCGCGAUCGCGCCGAACUGCAGGCACAGAUCGAGGAGAACGAAGAGGAGCUGGGCGAGCUAAUGAAGAAGUACAGCGCCACCGUCAAGCAGCUAAAUGCAGAGCAAGUCAACGUAUCCGAAACAGAAUUUAAGCUCACUGAACUCGAAGCUGAGCGCAACAAUCUCAAAGAGCAGGUGGCCGAGCUGCAGCACAGACUCGACAAUGUGGAGAACUUGGGUGAUCCCUCCAUUGCUGUCAUGUCCAAGCGUUUGGAAAUGCGCACAAAGGAACUGGAGUCACGUCUGGAACUGGAGCAGGCGACACGUGCACGUCUCGAGGUGCAGGUGAGCCGGCAUAAGGAAGCGCUGGAAAAGUUGCAAAACGAAGUAACCCAGUCAAAGCUGCGGGAAAUGCAGUCACAGGAUGUGCUCAAAAAAUCUCAAAAGAGUUUGCGUGACAUGCGCGAGGAAUAUCAUUCGCUCUCCAGCCGUGAACAAGAGUCGCUGACGCGUCGUAAGGAUCUGGAAAAGAAAAUGGAGGUCAUGGAAUCUGAGGGCACGGCGCUAAAGAACGACUUGCGCUUGGCGCUGCAACGCAUUGCGGAUCUGCAGCAGGCCAUGGAGGAGGAGGGCGAGGAGGAGCUUAGCGAGAGCGAGGAGAGCGUCAGCUCUGUGGGCUCCAUCAGUGAUUUGGAAGAGCGACUGCGACCCGUGCAUGUCAAACGCAGCUCACAGCAGUCAUUAAACGGCCCCACCAUCCCACCCAGCACUACACGCACGCUGAUCUGCGAAAAGGACGACAACAGCCCUAGGUACGCUGAUAACGAAGUCAACUCAAACAGCAGGCAGCACAAGCACUAAGCACCGUAGUCGCAUUAGCUCGAUAUAAUACCUAUAUAUGCAUAUGUAUAACUAUCACUAGUUAGCUAACUAGCUACUUAGCUUAUAAGAAUAACAGUGACGUCGCCGUCGUCGCCACACAUACAUAAACUGGCACUGGCGGCUAAAGCCAUACCGGACCAAAA